AAGUCGUAACAAGGUUUCCGUAGGUGAACCUGCGGAAGGAUCAUUAACAAAAAUCGCAAAGAUUUUUUGAUUCAACAUGUGAACUUUUAACCCAAACAACGAAUUACGUAUUCUUCGAAAGGGCUUCUUCGGAAGUCUCAUUAGAAAACUUUGAACAACUCUUAGCAGUGGAUAUCUCGGCUCUC
This 185-nucleotide unclassified non-coding RNA is filed under the name fungal sp. Its description in RNAcentral is "partial internal transcribed spacer region". The stretch from base 1 to 46 matches the Rfam family "Eukaryotic small subunit ribosomal RNA", at positions 1786 to 1831 of the family's 1831-position model. Lineage: Eukaryota; Fungi. The record is from RNAcentral.